CCUACGGGAGGCAGCAGUGAGGAAUAUUGGUCAAUGGGCGAGAGCCUGAACCAGCCAAGUCGCGUGAGGGAGUACUGCCCUAUGGGUUGUAAACCUCUUUUGUCGGGGUGAAAACGCCGGCCGUGUCCGGCUGUGAGAGUACCCGAAGCAAAAGCAUCGGCUAACUCCGUGCAGGCAGCCGCGGUAAUACGUGGGAUGCGAGCGUUAUCCGGAUUUUUUGGGUUAAAGGGGUGCGCAGGCGGUUUUUUACUUCAGCGGGCAAAUCGUGGGGCUCAACCCCCUGCAGCCGUUGAAACUGGGGGUCUAGAGUGUGCGAGAGGUAUGCGGAAUGCGUGGUGUAGCGGUGAAAUGCAUAGAUAUCACGCAGAACCCC
RNAcentral lists this ribosomal RNA (373 nucleotides) under uncultured bacterium. Its description in RNAcentral is "partial 16S ribosomal RNA". It matches the Rfam family "Bacterial small subunit ribosomal RNA", at positions 338 to 710 of the family's 1533-position model. The record is from RNAcentral.